Molecule: long non-coding RNA, 1476 nt
Organism: Sitophilus oryzae (rice weevil)
Lineage: Eukaryota; Metazoa; Arthropoda; Insecta; Coleoptera; Curculionidae
Exons: 2
Source: RefSeq, a predicted model, not a curated record
CUCCUUUCAACGCACACUUUAGAAAGAAAAAGAGAUGAACAGUUAUACUGAAAGUAUGGAGUCUAAAAGGAGGAGGCGAAUCGAACGCAAAAAUUAUGGGCCCAGUUUUUGAGAUCUAAAUGAAGUUCGAAAAUCGCCGUUAGGGGCGCUUGUGAUGAUUGGGAUACUAGAAAUACACAGCUUCUUAUGGCAAGAAUAACUAUUUUGUUAUAAAUUAUAGAGCCAAGUUAAUAUUUGGGCAUAUUUUUACCAGAGUUAGCUUUUAGAAACGUGGUUUUUCUAAUUGAGCAAUGUGCGUGGCUAAAAUUGUGAAUACAAAACCUUAAAUUUGAGUUUGAAAAUGCAUACACGACCGAAGAAACAUAUAAGCUGCUAAAAUAAAUCUUCCCUAGAACUGUUGUACAAAAAAGAUAGAAGUUCCAGCAACAAAUUUAUCACCAGUUCAACCUUUGAUUUGAUGUAAACAGUAAUUGUUUCUUGAUGAGAAAUGCGAAUGAAAUAGUUUAUGGUGUGAUUGUGUUAGUGUUUUAUUAAUAGUUUUGUUGAUGCAGUUUAAAGGUUCAUAGUUUUUCAUUAAAACAUUUGAAAUUGACAUGUUUACAUGCAGUUUAGUGUGAUACCAUUUUAAUAAACAUUAAAAUCUUUCGAACUAGUAGUGGUUUUAUGGCGAUUGACAGAUUGAAUAACGAAAAUUAAGAGUAUUUUAUCAGGAAUAACUUAAUCAUAAAUGGAAACUGAAGACGAACGUUACCAUUGCACCCUUUGAUCGGUGUUAUCUAUUCCAUAACUUUUUAUAGCUGAAACUAGAGAGUAGGUAUAUUGAGCUGAAACGUUUCCUGUGUUCAAUAGCGUUUUUUCUAGCGUUGAAUUGUAAGUUUUAAUGUCAUUAGCAAAGUUUUGCAAAUUGUCACUGUUUCGUAGACAAUUAAAUUCAAGAUAUAUUAUAUUCAAUGUCACCUAAUAAUUGUAAAGGUUUUUCUAUUGAUAUUCACUUUAUUAAUAUAAGGUAGGUUUGUAAAUAAAAUAUUAAUGAAUAAAUAAUGUACUCAGUUUAUUUCAAAAGCACAAAAAUACAGAGUUGUGAAUAUGUAUAUACGCUGACUUAUUUCAUCAUAUAAAUAUUUAUUUAGCAAUAUUAAUACAUUACAACUUUUGUUUCUAUUAACUAAUUCCACUAAAUUUAAUAAAUAAAAUAUACAAUAUAUAAAUUUAAUAUACAAUUUAGCACUUAGAUAUUAAAUAUCUAUAUGUACUAUGCCAAAAAAUAAAACAGGAACAUCAUAUUAUAUCAAGAACACAAAAAAUUACAAUUUAAAAAAAAUGCAUUCUAAAAAAAUACCUAGCUACAAUAUACCUACAUAUUAAUUUAAAGAGCUUAUUCAUAUUCAUAAAAACUAUUCUAAAUGGUUUAUAUACACAAUCAAAAGUAUCAACCACAAUACAAUAAUUUUCAAAUUAUUUCUUAUUAUUCCUCAA